GGGAGGCAACCUCAAAUCCGCCUCCCUGGGGACAAACAGGGACUUAGAGAGGCUGCCUUCACUGCCAGCCAUGACUCUUCACUGGGGCCUGCGGCUGCCAGGCACUGGAUAUUGAGCCCUAAGCGUGCACUUUGCCACUGCGUCACAUAUACAGCUUUACCCCGGACGUUCUUGACAGCUUCUUUGCCGGCUUCAUGGUCCAAUUGAAGAGAUCAACUAGGCCAGGGCCAAAGGCAAUGUCUUCUGCCAGCAUCAGUAGGAAUCUCUGGACCUGGCAGCCGGAGUCUCACCGUUGCCUGUUUCUCUCUACCACCUCCUUCUAAACAUCCCUCGUCCACACCAAGUCCACUCACUGGGGGACGUCCACUGCGUUGGAAAGCCCCGCAGGCCACACCAGAUGCAUCCAUAAGCUAAGUCUCCAUUUGUUACUGUGACCGAAUCCCCAGCCUCCCUUCCUACUGACUUCUCAGUCUCUCCCCUGAUCCCCUGAUCCCCCUCCCACAAGGGCUUAUUCACUUGUUUGUUCAUCAAACAUUUAUGGACCACUGGGUUUUGUAGAGUCUGAGAUGAAUCAGGCAAACAUCAUGCCCUCAGGGGGUUCAUAGACCAGGGAAUAAGAAAGGUGCAUGAACUGAAAAUCAUCAUCUGUGUGAUAAGAGCUAUAAAAGUGGGAACCCCAGGAGUUAUGGGAGGGAAGAGGGGCUCUGGCCAGGGGUUCAGGGAAGGUCCCCACAGCAAGUGUGAUUUUAAGGGCAGAGUAUUCAGGGAUAACUAGCAGCAAUGGUGGGGUGGGGGGAGUGAGUUCCUAGAGCAUUUUGUGCCUGUGAGAUAUAAGGCUGGGAGAUAAGGAUGAUUCAGAUUUGGAGAGUUUGAACUUCAUGAAAAGUGUCUGCACAGCAGAAAGAACUUGGACAGAACUUUAGCCAUUCAAAAGCCCUAGAAAACUCCUUCGCCAAGGGGAAAUUUUCUCCUCUGGUAUUUGGUCUCUGUUUAGGAGGCCUGAUUGGAGGAUGUCUUUGUACAUUUUGUGUUGCUGUAACAAAAUACCUGAGGAUAUUUGGUUGGCCCAUGAUUCUCUCAGCUGGAAAAUCCCAACAUCCUGGUGCCAGUCUUGGUGAGGGCUCCCUGGCUGUGUCACAGCAUGGUGGAGAGGCAGAAAGAGAACUGGCCCCACAUACCGAGACAGGAAGCACCAGAGCUGGCAGGGGCCAGGCUCAUCAUUUUUAUAAACAUCCUACUCUUGUGGGAAAUAAUCCACUUCUGCAGGACCCAACCCAUCCCAUGAGACUAGCAUUAAUCCACUCAUGAAGGUGGAGCCCACGUGACCUAAUGAUCUCCCACUGGUUCCCUGCCACCACACUGGGGACCAAGCUUCUCACACACGAACAUGUUGAGGGACAAGGCAGAUCCAAACCUUAGCCAAUGGGCUAAGCCUGGAUAUGGGUCAGAAGGUCUCGUGAUGAUGAGAAUGUAAACCUAAGCAGGGGCAGGAAGCCCAACCCAGAAGGUGCUGGCUGAGGAUUGAUUGGUUGGUCAGAUCAGGGGGGACGUAGGGAGCAGCUGAACAUGGGGGUGAAGACAACAGCAGACUCUUCGUUGGCUCUAAAUUGAUGCUGGUGGUUGAGCCUUAGAGAGCUCUGUACCUCAGGUUCCUCCGCACGUUCCCUUUCUGCCUUCGAGGGCAGUUCUCCUCCUCUUCCUCCCACCCCACCGUCAAUAAAGCUCGCACCGAGCCCCUUUCCCAGGUGAGCCCGCCGUCUCCUUGGGCCAGGCUCGGGACUCCUGGGAGCCACCAAUGUUACCGUGUCCUUUCUCUAAGGCUCUGGGGCUCACCUCCUGCACAAAUAUUGAUUCUUGGCCUGAUUAAUACUGCUAUUUAUAUUAACAAUGCAUUUGUUCACCAAAAAAAUAAUUAGCACAAGAAAGCUGAAUAUUAUUAGGGGCCUCAUUAAUUUCACCAAGUUUAUUUAAGUGACAGCAGGAUGUCAAGUCAAUAAUGAGUACUAAUUAAUAAACACAUCUGAACACCUUGAAGCACACUCGAGUAGGGGCACAGAAACCUAAGUGGGGCGGGGGCUGGUUUCUGAGGAGCACAGGGGAUACCUCCUCUUUUGAAUGGAGGGUCCCAAGUGUGAUGACCUAAGGUCUGAUGUGCAAGGCAGGUGGCCUUGCUGAGUUAUGCAAAGGGCUGACGGUGGCCAGUCUGGGGUCUGAAGAGCUAGCAUAAGGCCAUUAGUGGCCUGAGACUCUGCCUCAUGACUCCUCUCACUGAGGAAGCAUCGAGGACCUGGGUGGCUUUUGGAACCAGACCCUGUUUUGACACCAACCUCACCUUCUGGAGAGGCUGUGGAUUGGGCAUGAGGGGCUCUAUUGGAAGAGCUCGGUGACCUGCUACGUCCGGGAACCUAGAAGUGCCCCCUCUGCUCCCUUUGUGGCCACCUCUGGAUAGAGACCAAGUGCGUGGAUUCAGUGUGGCACGACCGCGGCCUUCCUGAGUCUUGGCCACCGUGACUGCCCUGGCAUAGCCCUGGCUCUUUCUUCCUGCAUAGUCCCCGACAAAUUAUAAAUAGGCAAACUGUAGGCGUGGCGUACUGCGCUUUAGAACAUGGCUCUGACUCAGGGAUGAGCCUGCCUCUUACAUGGUAGCUCAAGAUGAAGCCAUUUCCGCCCUGGCCCACACCCACACUGUCUUUCUGACCCGAAUGGCAGGAUCCAUCUGUUCCUGCUGCCGCCCAGAACCUGCUCUGCCAGUCAGUCUGCGUUCCUGGGCCUGUCUGCCCCUCUCCUGGGUCUCAGACCACCCGGGGCCAGUCCCCACACACUGGGACCAGGCUGCUGCAGAACACCCAGGGCCCCUUUGCUUCCUUGGCUCAGCAGGGACAGGCCUUGAGCCCUCCGAGGCGUCUUCCCUGUAUGUGCCUCUCACGUUAAAGCUGCUGUUCAGAAGCCCUGGGAACCUGUAAUCGCCUCUCAGAGGUGGUUUUAUUCCUUUAACCUCCUCCCUGCUCCCUACUUAGAGCUAACACGAUUGGCAUGUUUAGGCAGAAUCCGCUGGCUUCAAACAAAGCAAGCUGUUCUGAGUACACAGCCCGGAGCCACCGCAGAGGACACCAGAGCUCCAGCUAUAAAGGAGCAGGGCUCUGGGGCAUCCCGCCUCUGAGAGCCAGGGGCAGCGGGAGUGCUGGGUCUGGGGCAGCUCCAGCCAGUGGCCCCAGGAAGUGCGAACCUGGCUUUCUAGUGCCGCCUCCGCCUUCUGUUUGGUUGUUGGGGAAAUUGAUCUUUCAGAUAUUUUAGCUGCAUGGGUGGAAAUCCGCACGUGCAGUGUUUUGCUAAGACCCAAAGCCUUCAGGGACUGUUUUGGGAGCAAGUCAGAGGCAGCCUCCACCCUCCCCAAGGGGCUUCAUCUCUGGGCCAGACCUGGGCUGGUGAGGUCUCCUGGACUCCUUGCAGUCACUCUGGGAAUUGAGAGCACCCCCAUUGUCAGGGGCUCAGUCCAAAGGUCUGGACGAAAGGCAGACAGCACACUGCUUGGACCCCUCUCUCCCUAGUUUCUCUGGCUGUCCCAGGCACCUGGGCUUCAGGCUUCUGCAAAGACAAAUCACACAAAUUGAGUCAAGAAACAGAGAAUAUGGAACCCGGCUGCCCUUCACCAAGCCAGACACCAGAGACUCUCAAAACCCAAGCAAGGCUGCUCCUCUCACCCAGUUUCUGUUUGGAAAACAUGGCUGGUCUGUAGGGAAUGCAUUAUUGAUGUGAUCAUGCCAUGGCUCAUUGCUAUUGAGUUAAUAAAUACCCUUCAAAUGUC
Molecule: long non-coding RNA, 3805 nt
Organism: Marmota monax (woodchuck)
Lineage: Eukaryota; Metazoa; Chordata; Mammalia; Rodentia; Sciuridae
Exons: 5
Source: RefSeq, a predicted model, not a curated record